Molecule: ribosomal RNA, 376 nt
Filed under: uncultured organism
Description: partial 16S ribosomal RNA
Rfam family: Bacterial small subunit ribosomal RNA
Source: RNAcentral
CGGGGGGGGGGCAAGCGUUGUUCGGAAUUACUGGGCGUAAAGGGCGCGUAGGCGGACGAGACAGUCUUUCGUGAAAUCCCACGGGCUGAACCGUGGAACUGCGGGAGAUACUACUCGUCUUGAGUUCGGGAGAGGAGUGUGGAAUUCCCAGUGUAGCGGUGAAAUGCGUAGAUAUUGGGAGGAACACCGGUGGCGAAGGCGGCACUCUGGACCGAUACUGACGCUGAGGCGCGAAAGCUAGGGGAGCAAACGGGAUUAGAUACCCCGGUAGUCCUAGCUGUAAACGAUGAGCACUAGGUGUAGCGGGUAUCGACCCCUGCUGUGCCGGAGUUAACGCAUUAAGUGCUCCGCCUGGGGAGUACGGUCGCAAAGGCUG